CUGGAAAGUCGUGCCAUAGACGGUGAUAGCCCGGUAUUCUAAGGUAACCGAAGCGUAGUGGUAUCCUGAGUAGCGCGGAGCACGAGGAAUUCUGCGUGAAUCAGCCGGGACCAUCCGGUAAGGCUAAAUACUCCCGAGAGACCGAUAGCGAACCAGUACUGUGAAGGAAAGGUGAAAAGCACUUCGAAUAGAAGAGUGAAAUAGUCCCUGAAACCAUGCGCCUACAAGCGGUCGGAGCAGCUUAAGCUGUGACGGCGUGCCUUUUGCAUAAUGAACCUACGAGUUACUUUUUCCGGCAAGGUUAAGCAUCUUGAGAUGUGGAUCCGAAGCGAAAGCGAGUCUGAACAGGGCGGAUAGUCGGAAGGAGUAGACGCGAAACCAAGUGAUCUACCCUUGGGCAGGUUGAAGGUUAGGUAACACUAACUGGAGGACCGAACCGAUAAGCGUUGAAAAGCUUCCGGAUGACCUGAGGGUGGGGGUGAAAGGCUAAUCAAACUUGGAGAUAGCUCGUACUCCCCGAAAUGCAUUUAGGUGCAGCCUUGAGAGUUACUAAUGUGAGGUAGAGCGACUGAUAAGAUGCGAGGGCUUCACCGCCUAUCAAGUCUUGAUAAACUCCGAAUGCGCAUUAGUUCUAUCUCAGGAGUGAGGGCAUGGGUGCUAAGGUCCAUGUCCUAAAGGAGAAGAAUCCAGACCAUCAGCUAAGGUCCCCAAAUAAACACUAAGUUGAACUAACGAAGUCAGAUUGCUAAGACAGCUAGGAUGUUGGCUUGGAAGCAGCCAUUCAUUUAAAGAGUGCGUAACAGCUCACUAGUCGAGGAGUUUGGCGUGGAUAAUAAUCGGGCAU
This 844-nucleotide ribosomal RNA is filed under the name Bacteroides fragilis. Its description in RNAcentral is "partial 23S ribosomal RNA". It matches the Rfam family "Bacterial large subunit ribosomal RNA", at positions 342 to 1182 of the family's 2925-position model. The record is from RNAcentral. Lineage: Bacteria; Pseudomonadati; Bacteroidota; Bacteroidia; Bacteroidales; Bacteroidaceae.